RNAcentral lists this unclassified non-coding RNA (822 nucleotides) under Hevea brasiliensis (rubber tree). The record is from RNAcentral. Lineage: Eukaryota; Viridiplantae; Streptophyta; Magnoliopsida; Malpighiales; Euphorbiaceae.
AGUGUGCUGGCAGUUGUUGAUUCACUGCAAGAAAAUAUUAUUUGAGUUGAUAACAAACCAUUGAUAUUGAGUAAAAACAGAGACACAAGCAAUAUCAUUUGAAAGAAGAAAAAGAAUUGCUAACAAAGCUAGAUGGCUCAAUGAACAACAGUGAAAAGACUUGGAGGUUACAUUACAAACCAAUAGAAAAAUCUCCAAGAAAAAAAAAAAACUACAUCAUUCUGGCAACAUUUUCUUAUUGACAUAAUACCAAUCAGCUAAAACAUUUACCUCACAGAAUAAACUAUUAAAAAAACCAUUAUAUUUUAUAACAAAAAUGUUCGAUGCCCACACAAAACUAUAGUUCAUGCAGUAUUGUUAAAGGCGACCAAGGCGCAUGGCGAGGUGAGCCCCUGGUGCCUCGCCUGGCUGAGGUAAGUCCAUUUGAAAGAGGGAGCGCUCAAGACUGAUAAGGCGAGAGGAGUGGGGCAACCAAGGUGAUGCCUGAGCUAAAUAAUCUACACUUUCCCUUUUUUUAUAUAUUUUCUAAACAGCAUAAAAAAAUCAUUAAAAAAAAAAAAAAACCUUAGCCUUCAACUCACGUCACCAGCAGCACUUGGAGAGAGCCACCAGUUGGAGAAGACAAGCAGACCAGGUAUUACUCCUUCCUUUCUCUCUCUCUCUCUCCUCUACUCUUCUUUUAUUUUCUCCUCUCACCUAAGCAACCUAUUAGCAGGUCCAGCACCAUACGAUCCAAGGGGUUUUUUUUUUUCUUCUUUUUAAUUUUUUUUCUCUCCUCCUCAUCUUCUUCUCUUCUUCUAUCGGUCCAUCUUCACUCCAGCA